GCGUGCCUAAUACAUGCAAGUCGUGCAGGAAAAGCGUAACUUGCUCCCGGAUGUUAGCGGCGGACGGGUGAGUAACACGUGGGUAACCUGCCUGUAAGACUGGGAUAACUCCGGGAAACCGGAGCUAAUACCGGAUAGUUCCUUGAACCGCAUGGUUCAAGGAUGAAAGACGGUUUCGGCUGUCACUUACAGAUGGACCCGCGGCGCAUUAGCUAGUUGGUGGGGUAAUGGCUCACCAAGGCAACGAUGCGUAGCCGACCUGAGAGGGUGAUCGGCCACACUGGGACUGAGACACGGCCCAGACUCCUACGGGAGGCAGCAGUAGGGAAUCUUCCGCAAUGGACGAAAGUCUGACGGAGCAACGCCGCGUGAGUGAUGAAGGUUUUCGGAUCGUAAAGCUCUGUUGUUAGGGAAGAACAAGUGCGAGAGUAACUGCUCGCACCUUGACGGUACCUAACCAGAAAGCCACGGCUAACUACGUGCCAGCAGCCGCGGUAAUACGUAGGUGGCAAGCGUUGUCCGGAAUUAUUGGGCGUAAAGGGCUCGCAGGCGGUUUCUUAAGUCUGAUGUGAAAGCCCCCGGCUCAACCGGGGAGGGUCAUUGGAAACUGGGAAACUUGAGUGCAGAAGAGGAGAGUGGAAUUCCACGUGUAGCGGUGAAAAUGCGUAGAGAUGUGGAGGAACACCAGUGGCGAAGGCGACUCUCUGGUCUGUAACUGACGCUGAAGGAGCGUAGCUUGUGGGACAACAAACACGCCUACCCUGGGUGUUUCCAGC
This 776-nucleotide ribosomal RNA is filed under the name Bacillus sp. (in: firmicutes). RNAcentral's name for it is "bacterial SSU rRNA". It matches the Rfam family "Bacterial small subunit ribosomal RNA", at positions 42 to 801 of the family's 1533-position model. Lineage: Bacteria; Bacillati; Bacillota; Bacilli; Caryophanales; Bacillaceae. The record is from RNAcentral.